AGGGUAACUUCCUGAUGUUGCCAUGGCAUUUGUAAACUGUAUGGCACUGGCGGGAGUGUCUUUAGCAUGUUAGCGCAUUAUAUAAUUAGUGUAUAAUGAGCAGUGAGACGACUGGAGGUCACUUUCAUCGCCAUCUUGGUUUUGGUGGGUUUUGGACAGCUUCUUUACGCAUGCUGUUUUAUCAGCAAGGUCUUUGUGACCUGUAUCUUGUGCCGACCUCCUAUCUCAUCCUGUGACUAGGAAUGCCUUAACCUCCUGGAAUGCAGCUCACAUGCCAGAAACUAUACAAUCCACCCCCUCUGAAGGAGUUUGUUCAUUUAAAAAAAAAAAAAGGCCAGCCCUCCAUGAAUGAGGAACUUCCUGGGGCCACUAGUGCAUGCUGCAGCUCACACAGUCAACUCCAUCCACACCUCCACAAACAGCUGCCCUUUGGCCACUACUCAGGCGUAAGGACACACCCAGCAGGGUAUGCCCUCUGGAGGUCAGACCAGGGAAGAAGCCCUUGCACAGUCAGGAGCCAGCUCAGCACCUGUGAUGCUGAAUUCUAUGUGGCAACUUGACUGGACGCAGGUGCUCGGAUUAAACCUGAUUUCUGGGUAUGUCUGUGAGGGUAUUUCCAGAGGAGAUUAGAAUUUGAAUCCGUGGAUUGGCAAAGUUGGUGUCUGCCCCAGUGUGGGUGGUCACCAUCUACUCUCCUGAGGGCCUGAAGAGAACAAAAGGCAAAGGAAGGAGGAAUUCGCCCUUAACUUGCUUGCCGCCUGCCUGCUUGAGCAGAGACAUUUCAUCACAUCUUCUCUGGCCCUCGACUGAGAUUCACACCAUUGGCUUCCCUGGUUCUCAGGCAUUUUGACUUGGACUGAACUACACCAUUGGCUUUCCUGGGCUCCAGCUUGCACAUAGCAGAUUGUGGGAUUUCUCAGCCUCUAUUAUUACAGGCGCCAGUUCUUCAAAAUCAACCUCUCUCUCUCUGUCUCUCUCUCUCUCCCUAGAUCACAGUCUGGAAGUCUGCUCACAGUCUCAAGGUUGGCAUAUCCCCUAGAGCCCCCAGACUCCUCAUCCCAUGGAGACCAACAUGGCCAGGGGAGGGCCAGAGCAGGGCCUUCUAAAUCACAGACCCCAGGGCAGGAGCCCCUCCGGUCUGGAUCUAAGGAUGGUAUUUUCAACAAUUCCUAAAUUUUUAUCCUAGGCUCUCCAAAUGGGAGUCUAAAGGUCUCAAAACAUGGUCCAGAAGAAGUAUGCAAAAAUGUAAAUUCCUAGGCCCCAACCCAGACCUAUGAAUCAGAUGAUCUGUAUGGGGGUUCAAGGAAUCUAUAUUAUUAAACAAUCUUCCUAAAUGACUUGUAUUCAUACUAAAGCUUGAGAAUUGCUAUCAAACAGCUAGAAGUUGGAGUGAAGGGUCCUGCCUUUCCCAUGAAAUUCAUCAACUCUAUGCCCUCAAAAGCUGGGCUCUUGGAUGAGCUGCUCUCCAUUCUAGAGACAUUACCAGCUAGGUAGCCUGCUGGUCCUCAGGAAGUUAAGCCCAGACUCUUCAGCACAGAAUCAGAUAAACACUGAUUACAUUGUACUCUACAGUUCUGAGAACACCAUUACUUAAUUCCCGGCAAGUUGCAAUGUAAUUGAGUAGGUUGUAGUUUUUUGGGUUUGGGGUUUUUUUGUUUUUUAAAUAUAUCAGGCGUAGUUAGCCAGCUUCCUAGAAACACCAUGAUCUCUUGGUGAAAAUUCCAGAAAUAUGCAUCACUUCCUAAUUAAAGUAGGGAAUUUUUAAAAAUUAUUAAACCACAUGCUUUCUAAUUCCUAUUGCCCUUUCUUUUCACCCACCAUUCAGCAGUCAGCAGACACUUUCUGGGUACAACAGGGUAGGACCAUCCAGGCAGAACAAAAGCCAUUGAUCAUGAACUACAGAGGAGAGUUUGGUAAAUGGACACCAGAAACCAUGGCCUACAGGGGCCUGGUUUUCUCCCAUCUAAAUACUAACUAGGCCCAACGCUAGUUGGGCUUAGCUUCCUAGAUCAGAUGAAAUUGGGCACAUUUAGGGUUGGGGGUAUGGCUCUCUAUUGUAAGUAGCAAGAGUUUGAGAGAAGAAAAAAGGGAUUUUCUUUUUUUUUUCUUUUAAAUUUUAGAGCAUUAACUUUAAACAUCAAGAUCCAAACCCCAAGGAUUCAGAGAAUCUUGUACUAUAAACCAUUUGUAUUAGUCAGGGUUCUCCAGAGAAACAGAACCCAUAGGAGGUAUAGAGAUAGAGAAAUAUGGAAUUGGCUCCCAUGAUUAUGGAGGCUGAGAAGUCCCUCAAUCUGCUGUCUGUGAGCUGGAGACCUAGGAAAGCUUAGCUGGUGGUACAAACCAGCCCAAGUGCAAAGGCCCAAGAACUAAGAGCACCAUUGUCAGAGAGCAGGAAAAGACAGAUGUCCCAGCUCAAAAAGAGAGAGCAAAUUCACCUUCCUUCCACCAUUUUAUUCCGUCCUGUUCCAUUCCUCAACAGGUUGGAUGAUGAGGGAGAUCUUUAUCCAUCUCAAGUUUUUUGUGCAAAUAUGGAAUACAAAUGAAAAAUACUUAAAGCACAUCAUCAUUGAUUUCCAACUUAGACUAGUUUAACUUCCCUUUUUCUUCUAUCCUGUCAGUUCCUUGAGGGAUCCUCUCUCCUUGUUCAUCUCUGCAUCUCUAGUAAUUAGCACAGUGCCAGGCACAUGGUAAUAUGGCUAAAACAGUGGAUUAUUGGUCUCCAACAUAAUUAAGCCCAUCCAAAAGAAAAACCAACCUCAUAAAUCUGCUUUGCAAAGUUCAUAAACAAUGGAUAUGCUAUGUCUCAAAGGUGCUGGCCAAAAAAAUUUAAGAACUUGGGAAUUAUGUGUUAUUUUGUUUGUUUUUUUCACCAAGCCUACUUUUCUGUCACAAGAGCCCAUAUCAACAACACACCCAUGUAUGUCCUUCUUUUUAUCUACUUUUCUCCAUGAAGUUUGUCACCAUCAACUGUUAAAACUGUAAAGAUUUGAUCAGCUAAAUAAGUGGUCUUUGAACUAAUUCCUCUCGUACUUCCUAAAGGAACUUUGAAAAACUAUGUAUCCCCUUGCACAUUUUCAAGCAGACACCUAAGAUUUUUCAUCAUAAAUUUGAAUAACUUCAAAAUAUGUACUUAUUAGCAUAUUGUAAAUAUUGAUUUUUAAAUAAAAUAUAUCACACUUUGUAUCCAAUGAACUCUAAACACCAUAGCAAUUUGACACUUACUCUCCCACCCUCAGUCUUAAAAAUUCACCAACAACCUCUUUUUUAACAACCGAAAAAUUUGUAUUAUUCCUUUUUAAAAUUUUGAAGUUUUCUGGAUUGAAUUAUUUUUAUAAUGAUUUUUAGUAUACAACUGACCAAAGCAACAUAAAUAUAUAGCAUAUUUUGAUAAAUAAUUAUAAAACAUAGCAAGUUAUGUGUUAUUGGAAAAUUAAACUAAAUGAAUGGAUCUUUUUAAAUUAGUUCGGGUAUCUGUGGCUGUUCCUAACUGUUAAAAUGAGACAGAGUCAGCGUCAAUUCUACUCUUAUUUUUUAUUUUUUUAGACGUAAGCCCUGAGAAAACUUGUUCAAUUAAAUAAGUAAUGAGAAUGUUAGGCAUUUUCUGAUAAAAAUGUCACUCUGUUAUUUGAAUGCCUUCUUGAUUAUAAGUCAAAAAGUACAUAGUGAUCUAUUAUCAAAAACUAUUGGCCUAUCUGUUGACAACUUGGGUAGGUCCUCCUUUAAUUUUAUUGAAAGCAAAGAAUUGGAAACUACCUAAUUUACAAAAAAAAGAAGAAGAAGAAGAAGAAGAAGAAAUGUGUUACCUAAUUAUUAGAGCUCACUUUCUAAGUUUCUAGGAAGUAUGACCCAAAAAAGCUUGGCCAAGACUUAUCACAUGGCUGUUGAUUAUACCAUCACCCUUUUACUUACAGGCGUCUUGCUUAUGGACCUAAAAAAGAUGAAACUGGAGUUAGAAACAAAAACAGAAAAUUGUAAAUUGUGCAUUUGGGGACUUUUCUCCUUGACUGUGAACAGAGACCUAUAUACAAUGCCAAAUUUCAUUUUUUAAGAAUGUCUCAAAAUGCAGAGUAAAGAAAUGACAGAAGGACAGACACUUGGGGAUAUUCAUGUAUAUACUAAUAACUUCUUCCCAAAUAUGACUGAAGACAAUACACUUAGCAGAACUGAAAUCAAUAUAUUAACAUCUGAAAGGGAGAAAUUAAUCCUAAUUCAAUCAAGCCAGUUUUCUAAAGUUCAGGUCAUUGCAUAUUAGAUUUACAUUUUGGAAAAAUUUUUUUUGCUUUUGAACCAAUAGAUUUCUGCUUUUGACAGUAUAGUUUAAAUACUUUAUGUAAGUUGACAGCAAGAGAAAGAACUUAGUCACCAAUAAGUAUAGUACAAGAUUAUGGAAAGCACAUUAAGGACCUCUAAGCACAUUAGUUAGAGUAUAAUCUGCAAUAUAUUCCUGUUAAAUUACUUAAUGCUAAUUCUGUGGACUGAAUUUCAUUCCCCCAAAAUUUAUAUUUUGAAGGCUUAACCCUUAAUGUGACUAUAUUUGGAAAUAGUGCCUGUGAAGAGGUGAUAAAGGUUAAAUGAGGUCACAGGCUGGGGUCCUACUUCACUAGGACUGGUGUCCUUUAAAGAAGAGGACAAGAUGCCAGAUGCUCUCGUUCAUGUGCCCCCUUUCUCUCUCUCUCUCUCUCGCUGGUUCACUCUCUCUCUCUCUCCUCCUGCCCCCCAUGUGAGGAUAUAAGGAGAAGGCAGCCAUCUGCCAGCCAGGAAGAGAGCCCACACCAGAACUUGACCAUGCUGACACCCUAAUCUUGGAUUUCUAGCCUCCAGAGUUAUGAGAAAAUAAAUUUCUGUUAUUUAAACCACCUGGUGCAUGGUAUUUUGUUAUGGCAACACAAGCUGACUUAUAUACCUAAUAACUACAUGGCAGGAAUUAAUACAUGAACGGGAAAGUUGUUCAUGAGUGACAGUGAGCAGGAGACCUGUACCUUCAUCAGAAAUGAAUAUAGAUUUCAUAUUUUGCUAACUUUUAGCAAAAAUUAAUGAAAGUGUUUCUCCUAUAAAUCUGAGUAAAUAUUUAAGAAAAUACAAAAUACUAACUUACCUCUAAUAUGUGUUUCUUUUGUUAGAAAAUGUAGCCUUGAUAUGUUGGAAGAAACUGUAGUCUUUUCACCUUGAAGUUAUGCAAAUUACACUCCUGAG
Molecule: long non-coding RNA, 5193 nt
Filed under: Homo sapiens (human)
Lineage: Eukaryota; Metazoa; Chordata; Mammalia; Primates; Hominidae
Description: HSALNT0127010
Source: RNAcentral